GGCCAUAGCUCAAGGGGAGAGCAUCUGCUUUGCAAGCCAAAGGUCCCAGGUUCAAUCUCUGGUAGGGCUG
Podarcis lilfordi (Lilford's wall lizard) is the source of this 70-nucleotide non-coding RNA. NCBI's taxonomy places the organism in Eukaryota, Metazoa, Chordata, Lepidosauria, Squamata, Lacertidae. The record is from the annotation of a GenBank genome assembly.